GAAUAUUGGACAAUGGGCGAAAGCCUGAUCCAGCCAUGCCGCGUGUGUGAAGAAGGUCUUCGGAUUGUAAAGCACUUUAAGUUGGCAGGAAGGGCAGUAGGUGAAUACCUUGCUGGUUUGCCGUUACCGACAGAAAGAGCUCCGGAUAACUCUGUGCCACCCGCCGCGGUAAUACAGAGGGUGCAAGCGUUAAUCGGAAUUACUGGGCGUAAAGCGCGCGUAGGUGGUUCGUUAAGUAGGAGGUGAAAUCCCCGGGCUCAACCUGGGAACUGCAUCCAAAACUGGCGAGCUGGAGGAGGGCAGAGGGUGGGGGAAUUUCCUGUGUAGCGGUGAAAUGCGUAGAUAUAGGAAGGAACACCAGUGGCGAAGGCGACCACCUGGGCUCAUACUGACACUGAGGUGCGAAAGCGUGGGGAGCAAACA
RNAcentral lists this ribosomal RNA (423 nucleotides) under uncultured bacterium. RNAcentral's name for it is "partial 16S ribosomal RNA". It matches the Rfam family "Bacterial small subunit ribosomal RNA", at positions 359 to 774 of the family's 1533-position model. The record is from RNAcentral.